AUGCCACCGGAUAGAGACAUUGAGUUUUUGAUUGAGUUAUUACCAGGUACAGGCCCAAUAUCGAAGCGACCGUACCGGAUGCCAGCAAAGGAUUUGGUGGAAAUUAAGAAUCAGAUUAAGGAGUUAUUGGAUAAAGGUUACAUUCGCCCAAGUUCUUCGCCUUGGGGAUCACCCGUACUUCUAGUGGAAAAGAAGGAUGGAUCAUUAAGGAUGGUUGUUGAUUAUCGGGGAUUGAAUGAAGUAACCAUCAAGAACAAGUACCCACUGCCAAUGAUCAAUGAUCUGUUUGAUCGUUUGCAAGGAGCUAAAGUGUUUUCCAAGAUCGAUUUGCGAUCAGGGUACCAUCAAUUGAAGAUUCGAGAGCAGGACAUACCUAAGACAGCAUUCACCACAAGAUAUGGACUGUAUGAGUAUACCGUUAUGUCAUUUGGAUUGACUAACGCGCCUGCCUAUUUCAUGAACCUGAUGAACAAAGUGUUUAUGGAGUUUUUGGAUAAGUUCGUCGUAGUGUUCAUUGAUGACAUCCUAGUUUAUUCAAAGAAUGAAGAGGAGCAUAAGGAACAUUUGCGUUUGGUUUUGGAGAAACUAAGAGAACAUCAGUUAUACGCCAAAUUCAGCAAAUGUGAGUUUUGGUUGAAGGAAGUUGGAUUCCUCGGACACGUUAUAUCCGGAGAGGGUAUAGCAGUUGACCCCACUAAGGUUGAGACCGUAACCGAAUGGGAAUCACCAAUGACAGUUGGAGAGAUCCGGAGUUUUCUUGGACUCGCAGGAUACUACCGGAGAUUCAUUGAGAUUUUUUCAAAGAUUGCAAAGCCUAUGACUGAAUUGUUGAAGAAGGAUACUAAGUUCAAAUGGACUGAGGAGUGUGAGGCUAGUUUCCAGGAGUUGAAGAAACAUUUGGUUACCUCACCAGUAUUGAUUUUGCCAGAUCAGACCAAGGAUUAUGAGGUAUAUUGCGACGCUUCACGUCGAGGACUUGGAGCAGUGCUUAUGCAGGAAGGAAGAGUUGUUUCGUAUGCAUCACGACAACUG
This 1032-nucleotide ribosomal RNA is filed under the name Triticum aestivum (bread wheat). RNAcentral's name for it is "partial small subunit ribosomal RNA". Lineage: Eukaryota; Viridiplantae; Streptophyta; Magnoliopsida; Poales; Poaceae. The record is from RNAcentral.